Molecule: transfer RNA, 77 nt
Filed under: Evansella vedderi
Lineage: Bacteria; Bacillati; Bacillota; Bacilli; Caryophanales; Bacillaceae
Description: tRNA-Arg
Rfam family: tRNA
About the family: Transfer RNA (tRNA) molecules are approximately 80 nucleotides in length.
Source: RNAcentral
GCGCCCUUAGCUCAGUAGGAUAGAGCAACAGUUUCCUAAACUGUAGGUCGGAGGUUCGAAUCCUCUAGGGUGCGCCA